Long non-coding RNA from Drosophila willistoni, 659 nucleotides. RefSeq lists it as uncharacterized. NCBI's taxonomy places the organism in Eukaryota, Metazoa, Arthropoda, Insecta, Diptera, Drosophilidae. The record is from RefSeq and is a predicted model, not a curated record. The transcript is spliced from 2 exons.
GCCGAUUUUGCGGUUUAUAUGUAUGUAUAUGUGUGUGUGUCGCGCUGCAUUUUUGCUCUCUUUUAAAACACAACAGCAGCAACAACAACAACAGCAACGAAAAUAACAACAACAAUAGCGACAAGAAAAAUUUCGGUAUUUUACAGUUAGAAGAGCAGAUUUUUCGCUACUGCUUUCUGUGCUGCCCCAGCGUUUACUUGUUCCUCAUAUAUUUUACUUUGUUAUCGCGCGUCUGGGUCCCGUUGUCCCGUCUCUUCCAUACGCACCAUCUCCACCGCCACCCUCUCUGCCGACGACGACGCUACCGCCACCAGCACCACUACCACCACCACCGUGUGUCGUCACUCCUAACUCCCCCAAAAGCCUUAGUCCCAAACACACACAGACAUAUACACACCCCCACAAAUCCCCCCUUUGUCCCAUCGUUUGUCAAUGCGGAAGAGUUGCUGCCGCCGACGCUGUCGCCGCUGCUGCUGCUGCGCUGUUAAUAUUGCUGCCGCUGUCACUGCUAAAGCUACUGCUUCGCUGAUUUUUUAAGUUAAAACUGCCGCCAACGUUGCCAUUGCCAUUAAAACACAAAGCGCAAGAAGAGAAAACAAGCAACGAAAAAAGGAUAGGAAAAUAAAGGAAUUCCAGCAACAUCAAAACGAAAAUAGAAA